AACGAACGCUGGCGGCAUGCCUAACACAUGCAAGUCGAACGAGACCUUCGGGUCUAGUGGCGCACGGGUGCGUAACGCGUGGGAACCUGCCCUUAGGUUCGGAAUAACUCCCCGAAAGGGGUGCUAAUACCGGAUAAUGUCUUCGGACCAAAGAUUUAUCGCCUUUGGAUGGGCCCGCGUUGGAUUAGCUAGUUGGUAGGGUAAAAGCCUACCAAGGCGACGAUCCAUAGCUGGUCUGAGAGGAUGAUCAGCCACACUGGGACUGAGACACGGCCCAGACUCCUACGGGAGGCAGCAGUGGGGAAUAUUGGACAAUGGGCGAAAGCCUGAUCCAGCAAUGCCGCGUGAGUGAUGAAGGCCUUAGGGUUGUAAAGCUGUUUUACCCGGGAUGAUAAUGACAGUACCGGGAGAAUAAGCUCCGGCUAACUCCGU
This 432-nucleotide ribosomal RNA is filed under the name uncultured bacterium. RNAcentral describes it as "partial 16S ribosomal RNA". It matches the Rfam family "Bacterial small subunit ribosomal RNA", at positions 29 to 506 of the family's 1533-position model. The record is from RNAcentral.